Molecule: ribosomal RNA, 282 nt
Filed under: uncultured Staphylococcus sp.
Lineage: Bacteria; Bacillati; Bacillota; Bacilli; Caryophanales; Staphylococcaceae
Description: partial 16S ribosomal RNA
Rfam family: Bacterial small subunit ribosomal RNA
Source: RNAcentral
CCUUUGACGUUAGCGGCGGACGGGUGAGUAACACGUGGGUAACCUACCUAUAAGACUGGGAUAACUUCGGGAAACCGGAGCUAAUACCGGAUAAUAUUUCGAACCGCAUGGUUCGAUAGUGAAAGANGGUUUUGCUAUCACUUAUAGAUGGACCCGCGCCGUAUUAGCUAGUUGGUAAGGUUAAACGGGCUUACCAAGGCGACGAUACGUAGCCGACCUGAGAGGGUGAUCGGCCACACUGGGACUGAGACACGGUCCAGACUCCUACGGGAGGCAGCAGCG